GACGAACGCUGGCGGCGUGCUUAACACAUGCAAGUCGAACGGAAAGGCCCUGCUUGCAGGGUGCUCGAGUGGCGAACGGGUGAGUAACACGUGGGUGAUCUGCCCCUUACUUUGGGAUAAGCCUGGGAAAUUGGGUCUAAUACUGGAUAUGACCAUGCUGUAGGAGGUGUGGUGGAAAGAUUAGUUUCGGUAAGGGAUGAGCUCGCGGCCUAUCAGCUUGUUGGUGGGGUAAUGGCCUACCAAGGCGUCGACGGGUAGCCGGCCUGAGAGGGUGGACGGCCACAUUGGGACUGAGAUACGGCCCAGACUCCUACGGGAGGCAGCAGUGGGGAAUAUUGCACAAUGGGCGCAAGCCUGAUGCAGCGACGCCGCGUGGGGGAUGACGGCCUUCGGGUUGUAAACUCCUUUCAGCCAUGACGAAGCCCUUGUGGUGACGGUAGUGGUAGAAGAAGCACCGGCUAACUACGUG
Molecule: ribosomal RNA, 469 nt
Filed under: uncultured bacterium
Lineage: Bacteria
Description: partial 16S ribosomal RNA
Rfam family: Bacterial small subunit ribosomal RNA
Source: RNAcentral